Molecule: long non-coding RNA, 1653 nt
Filed under: Setaria viridis
Lineage: Eukaryota; Viridiplantae; Streptophyta; Magnoliopsida; Poales; Poaceae
Description: long non-coding RNA (SVIR_LNC007701)
Source: RNAcentral
AACACACGAAACCCGGGAGAAUCUGCUUAGCUCCUGUUUGGGUUGUACGCCUUCUGAUCCGCAGCCUACCAGUCAAUCUGACCUGCUGAUUGAUAAGGAUAGGUAAAACGUCAAAUAUGAGAGCAAAUCGCCUGGUGUUCCGAAUCGCUCCACAGGAUGUAUCGGCAGGACAACCGACACGGGCGAAGGACAAUCGGCUAGAUCAGUCGAUGUGGUUGUAGUAGAUGCAAAGGAAGCGUAAAACACAACCUAAACAGUACUAUGCGAACAACAUUCGAAACAGAUCUAAUCGGCUGUGUGACAGUAGAUUGAUAAGAAAAAUAAGGUAAAAGCUGACCAGAACAUGUUUCGAGUUGGAUAACUGUGAUAAAUGCUAAAACAACAAGAUUUAACGAAUAAAGCUUGCAGAUCUAGCAAAUAUCGAUAACUUUGAAUAAAUCUAGACGAAACAACAGCGAUGCGCCCCGAAGUUAAAGCCUAGGAAGUAUUCGGUAAACACGGAACUUACAGUCUAGCUGGAGAUUGAAGCGAUGCAGCCCAACUAACUUGAAAGAACUCGUGAAGAAAAGAAAACAAUGGCAAAGUCGCCAACUUGAAAGUAAAUUUCGAAGAAUAGUAGAUUUGUAUUGAUUAUGAUGUGUAUGUCCUUCCAGACCAUGCAGGGCCUCUAUUUAUACCCUAAACAUCAAGAUUCGUAGUCCUAGUCGAUUACGACAAAACAUAAGAUCUAUCUCUAAAGAAACAAACUUUCUAAACAAAACAAAAUAAAAACGACUGGUACGAGAGUUGAAAACAAACUUGGCCUCCAUCGGCUAAAAUCCUGCUCUUCAUCGGCCGAACCUCCAACAUCUCCAAUUGGCUGGAAUCCUUCUGCUGGCAUCGGCUAACCCAUCAGCUAUGCCCCUGUCAUCCUCCAUUGGCUAGGCCUCUGUCUUCCUCUAUCGGCAAGGCUUUCACCAUCAUCGGCCGAUCUCUCAUAGCUUCAUCGGCUGAGCCCUUUGCAACCCUAUCGGCCGAUUCCAUUAGCCGUUGUAUUUCCGCUAUGCAUCGGCAUCUCUGCUUCCUUUUAACGCCAUCUUUGACAUAUGUCAAAAAAUGGUGUCAACACAUGCCCCCUAGUUUCGAAGUGAAACAUAUCUUUUGCUCCGAAAUUGUCUCAACCAUGAUUUUCACCUUCCUUGGAAAACGCUGAUGCUUACCAAUCACCAAGUAACAAGAUCUUUUCUGUUCCAAAAUCUCCUCAGUCAUGAUUGCCUGAAAAAGCAUCUAGGGGUAACAGCUCUUCUGGUUUCGCACAGGUAGCGAAUGAGAUACCACAUUUACCCUUUUGGGUGAGUUUAUAAAUUUACAGCCGUCAUCUUCUUCUUCCCCACCAGUUCAUCUUCUCGUACCGCCACACCUUGCCUCCACUUUCCUCUGAGCGAAAGGCAACCUUCAACGACUCCCGGCGACCAUCAGCAGUCUCCAGUGACCAUCGGUGAUUCAUUUGCUAAUCACUUCAAACUCCAAAACUCAGGCAACCAGCAACAUGGCCACUCUUACCACCAUCCCCGAGGUACACCUCUCUACCUUCAUCAUUUUCCUCGUGCUUCUAUCUCCCUUUCCUUACAUAGCCAUUUUUGCAUUUCUCAAGAGCUUAGACACAGAAUCACC